AAGUUUUUCGGAACUUAGUGGCGGACGGGUGAGUAACGCGUGAGAAUCUGCCUUAAGGAUUGGGACAACAGUGGGAAACCGCUGCUAAUACCAAAUAUGCCUUUUAGUGAAAUGGGUAAAACCGCCUUAAGAUGAGCUCGCGUCUGAUUAGCUAGUUGGUGUGGUAAGAGCGCACCAAGGCAACGAUCAGUAGCUGGUCUGAGAGGACGACCAGCCACACUGGGACUGAGACACGGCCCAGACUCCUACGGGAGGCAGCAGUGAGGAAUUUUCCGCAAUGGGCGAAAGCCUGACGGAGCAAUACCGCGUGAGGGAGGAAGGUUCUUGGAUUGUAAACCUCUUUUCUCGGAGAAGAAUAAUGACGGUAUCUGAGGAAUAAGCAUCGGCUAACUCCGUGCCAGCAGCCGCGGUAAUACGGAGGAUGCAAGCGUUAUCCGGAAUGAUUGGGCGUAAAGGGUCUGUAGGUGGUUGUUCAAGUCUGCUGUUAAAGCGUCUGGCUUAACCAGAUAAAGGCGGUGGAAACUGAACGACUAGAGUGCGGUAGGGGUAGAGGGAAUUCCCAGUGUAGCGGUGAAAUGCGUAGAUCUUGGGAAGAACACCUGUGGCGAAAGCGCUCUACUGGACCGCGACUGACACUGAUGGACGAAAGCUAGGGGAGCGAAUGGGAUUAGAUACCCCAGUAGUCCUAGCCGUA
RNAcentral lists this ribosomal RNA (694 nucleotides) under uncultured cyanobacterium. RNAcentral describes it as "bacterial SSU rRNA". It matches the Rfam family "Bacterial small subunit ribosomal RNA", at positions 72 to 804 of the family's 1533-position model. Lineage: Bacteria; Bacillati; Cyanobacteriota. The record is from RNAcentral.